This 66-nucleotide transfer RNA is filed under the name Ixodes vespertilionis. RNAcentral describes it as "tRNA-Asn". The record is from RNAcentral. Lineage: Eukaryota; Metazoa; Arthropoda; Arachnida; Ixodida; Ixodidae.
UUAAUAGAAGCCAAAACCCCCGAGGCCAUUCACUGUUAAUGAAUGAAUUGAUCUAUUCCUAUUAAA